Long non-coding RNA from Oreochromis niloticus (Nile tilapia), 255 nucleotides. RefSeq lists it as uncharacterized. The record is from RefSeq and is a predicted model, not a curated record. The transcript has 3 exons. Lineage: Eukaryota; Metazoa; Chordata; Actinopteri; Cichliformes; Cichlidae.
CCUCUGGCUGUGACCCCUCAAACGGACAUGUUUCUUCCUUGGUGCCCAAGCGCUUGGAGGUCAAAAUUUUAUGUUUGACCUUGCAGGAGAAUCAGACGGCUACAUUGCUGCCACGCUGUCACGUAACACACAGGGAGUCAAUGACACAACCUACAUCUGUGCAAAUAACAAUGGUGUAGUCAAAUUCUUCAGUGCUCUUCUGAACAACGGCAAGCUGACUCGCACACCGCUUAAAGUCAACAAUGUGAGGGGCAA